GAUGAACGCUGGCGGCGUGCCUAAUACAUGCAAGUCGAGCGAACGGACGAGAAGCUUGCUUCUCUGAUGUUAGCGGCGGACGGGUGAGUAACACGUGGAUAACCUACCUAUAAGACUGGGAUAACUUCGGGAAACCGGAGCUAAUACCGGAUAAUAUUUUGAACCGCAUGGUUCAAAAGUGAAAGACGGUCUUGCUGUCACUUAUAGAUGGAUCCGCGCUGCAUUAGAUAGUUGGUAAGGUAACGGCUUACCAAGGCAACGAUGCAUAGACGACCUGAGAGGGUGAUCGGCCACACUGGAACUGAGACACGGUCCAGACUCCUACGGGAGGCAGCAGUAGGGAAUCUUCCGCAAUGGGCGAAAGCCUGACGGAGCAACGCCGCGUGAGUGAUGAAGGUCUUCGGAUCGGAAAACUCUGUUAUUAGGGAAGAACAUAUGUGUAAGUAACUGUGCACAUCUUGACGGUACCUAAUCAGAAAGCCACGGCUAACUACGUG
This 497-nucleotide ribosomal RNA is filed under the name uncultured bacterium. RNAcentral's name for it is "partial 16S ribosomal RNA". It matches the Rfam family "Bacterial small subunit ribosomal RNA", at positions 28 to 507 of the family's 1533-position model. The record is from RNAcentral.